Long non-coding RNA from Cydia pomonella (codling moth), 309 nucleotides. RefSeq lists it as uncharacterized. The transcript has 2 exons. The record is from RefSeq and is a predicted model, not a curated record. Lineage: Eukaryota; Metazoa; Arthropoda; Insecta; Lepidoptera; Tortricidae.
AAAAAACUCAAAUCCUCCGCCACUGCACUUUGUAAAACUUCUGGAAAGUUAUGUUGUGUUUCCCGCCCGUUUUCAGGCGCAGCAGAUAAGGACACCGGGAAUGGUGGCGAGUUGGAAGCGCCAAAGCUUUUAUACCAGAUUAUUUCAGAUGCAGGAAAAUCAGUUAUAAUGUGAGCGAAUGAUGCCGGAGCAGUCACGUACAUGCCUACUUGAUAAUAUAUAUAUAUAUCUAAACAGUAAAGAAAUACAUAUGUACACAAAAAACUGCCGUCAAAGUUUUUCUAAUUAAAUAUAUUUUUUACUCGUAAA